CGGGCUCGACCGCCGCGUCUGCGGCAGUAUGACAGGCCCGCCCGCGGCCGAGUCUACA
Molecule: small nucleolar RNA, 58 nt
Filed under: Pyrobaculum neutrophilum V24Sta
Lineage: Archaea; Thermoproteati; Thermoproteota; Thermoprotei; Thermoproteales; Thermoproteaceae
Description: Thermoproteus neutrophilus V24Sta Pyrobaculum sRNA 210
Rfam family: Pyrobaculum sRNA 210
About the family: Non canonical pseudouridylation guide sRNA features. Predicted to target tRNALys U54 in Pyrobaculum.
Source: Rfam by way of RNAcentral